UACCAGCACCCCGAGUGGUCGGGACGAUUAUUGGGCCUAAAGCAUCCGUAGCCGGUCCUACAAGUCUUCCGUUAAAUCCACCUGCUUAACAGAUGGGCUGCGGAAGAUACUACGUGGCUAGGAGGCGGGAGAGGCAAGCGGUACUCAGUGGGUAGGGGUAAAAUCCUUUGAUCCAUUGAAGACCACCAGUGGCGAAGGCGGCUUGCCAGAACGCGCUCGACGGUGAGGGAUGAAAGCUGGGGGAGCAAACCGG
This 253-nucleotide ribosomal RNA is filed under the name uncultured bacterium. Its description in RNAcentral is "partial 16S ribosomal RNA". It matches the Rfam family "Archaeal small subunit ribosomal RNA", at positions 474 to 727 of the family's 1478-position model. The record is from RNAcentral.